UGCGUAGGCGGGCUAAUAAGUCAGUGGUGAAAUCUUUCGGCUCAACCGAGAAACUGCCAUUGAUACUGUUAGUCUUGAGUUCGGUUGAGGUAGGCGGAAUGUGUAAUGUAGCGGUGAAAUGCUUAGAUAUUACACAGAACACCAAUUGCGUAGGCAGCUUACUAGACCGACACUGACGCUGAGGCACGAAAGCGUGGGGAGCGAACCGGAUUAGAUACCCGAGUAGUCC
This 229-nucleotide ribosomal RNA is filed under the name uncultured bacterium. Its description in RNAcentral is "partial 16S ribosomal RNA". It matches the Rfam family "Bacterial small subunit ribosomal RNA", at positions 568 to 796 of the family's 1533-position model. The record is from RNAcentral.